AGAGAUGUGGCUUUGUUGUAGAGUGCUUGCCUAGCAUGCACAAGGCCCUGGGUUCAAUCCCCAGCAUUGCAA
Molecule: transfer RNA, 72 nt
Filed under: Ictidomys tridecemlineatus (thirteen-lined ground squirrel)
Lineage: Eukaryota; Metazoa; Chordata; Mammalia; Rodentia; Sciuridae
Description: Spermophilus tridecemlineatus (thirteen-lined ground squirrel) tRNA
Rfam family: tRNA
About the family: Transfer RNA (tRNA) molecules are approximately 80 nucleotides in length. Their secondary structure includes four short double-helical elements and three loops (D, anti-codon, and T loops).
Source: Rfam by way of RNAcentral